GGCGUGCUUAACACAUGCAAGUCGAACGAGAAAGCUCUUCGGAGCGAGUACAGUGGCAAACGGGUGCGUAACACGUGGAAAUCUACCUUUUAGUGGAGAACAACCUUGAGAAAUUAAGGCUAAUACUACAUAGUUCCCUUCGGGGAUAAAGAUGGCCUCUUGCUAUCGCUGAAAGAUGAGUCUGCGGACUAUUAGCUUGUUGGUAAGGUAAAAGCUUACCAAGGCUGUGAUGGUUAGCCGACCUGAGAGGGUGUACGGCCACAUUGGAACUGAGAUACGGUCCAGACUCCUACGGGAGGCUGCAGUGGGGAAUAUUGCACAAUGGACGAAAGUUUGAUGCAGCGACGCCGCGUGAAGGAUGAAGGUCUUCGGAUUGUAAACUUCUGUCAAGUGGGAAGAAAUAACUAUGGUUAAUACCCAUAGAAGAUGACGGUACCACUUAAGAAAGCUCCGGCUAACUUCGUGCCAGCAGCCGCGGUAAUACGAAGGGAGCGAGCGUUAUUCGGAAUUACUGGGCGUAAAGGGCGCGUAGGCGGCCAAUUAAGUCAGUUGUUAAAUUUCUCAGCUUAACUGAGAAUCAGCAAUUGAUACUGGUAGGCUAGAGGGCAAGAGAGAGAGGUAGAAUUCCCGGAGUAGCGGUAAAAUGCGUAGAUCUCGGGAGGAAUACCGGUUGCGAAGGCGGCCUCUUGGCUUGUACCUGACGCUAAAGCGCGAAAGCGUGGGGAGCAAACAGGAUUAGAUACCCUGGUAGUCCACGCCGUAAACGAUGAUCACUGGAUGUGAGUCUUGUUUUUGCAAGAUUUGUAUCGAAGCUAACGCGUUAAGUGAUCCGCCUGGGGAGUACGGUCGCAAGAUUAAAACUCAAAGGAAUUGACGGGGGUCCGCACAAGCGGUGGAACAUGUGGUUUAAUUCGACACUACGCGAGAAACCUUACCUAGACUUGACAUGUAAUAGACGUCCAUAGAAAUAUGGAGUUCCAAGCUUGCUUGGACUGUUACACAGGUGCUGCAUGGCUGUCGUCAGCUCGUGUCGUGAGAUGUUGGGUUAAGUCCUUUAACGAGCGCAACCCUUGCCGUUAGUUACUAUCCUUCGGGAUGGACUCUAGCGGGACUGCCUAGGAAACUAGGAGGAAGGUGGGGAUGACGUCAAGUCCUCAUGGCCCUUAUGUCUAGGGCUACACACGUGUUACAAUGGCUAGUACAACGGGUUGCUACCCUGCGAAGGAUGGCUAAUCUCUUAAAGCUAGUCUAAGUUCGGAUUGGAGUCUGCAAUUCGACUCCAUGAAGUUGAAAUCGCUAGUAAUCGCGUAUCAGAACGACGCGGUGAAUACGUUCUCGGACCUUGUACACACCGCCCGUCACACCACGAAAGUCGCUUAUACCCGAAAUCAUUUUAACUAACCCGUAAGGGAGGUGGGUGAUGAAGGUAUGGGUGGUGAU
Molecule: ribosomal RNA, 1440 nt
Filed under: uncultured bacterium
Lineage: Bacteria
Description: bacterial SSU rRNA
Rfam family: Bacterial small subunit ribosomal RNA
Source: RNAcentral